CUCACCUCUGCAUACACUAAUUAUAAUGUUUGAGGAUUCUGAAACGGUUCAAUUUUGGCUAUAUAAGGAAACAGGGAAUCUAGGAGUGUCUCUGUUAUAACGUUUAAGGGUGCAGAAACGGUUCAAAUUGAGCUAUAUAAGGAAACAGGGAAUCUAGGAGUAUCUCUAUUGUAAGGUUUAAGGAUUCUGAAACGGUUCAAUUUUGGCGAUAUAAGGAAAUGGGGAAUCUAGGAGUGUUUCUGUUAUAAGGUUUAAGGAUUCUGAAAUCGUUUAAUUUUGUCUAUAUAAGGAAACAGGGAAUCUAGGAGUGUUUCUGUUAUAAGGUUUAAGGAUUCUGAAACGGUUCAAUUUUGGCUAUAUAAGGAAACAGGGAAUCUAGGAGCAUGUCACUUAACCCAUGCGAAUUCAGAGAAGGACAC
Molecule: long non-coding RNA, 419 nt
Organism: Eriocheir sinensis (Chinese mitten crab)
Lineage: Eukaryota; Metazoa; Arthropoda; Malacostraca; Decapoda; Varunidae
Exons: 3
Source: RefSeq, a predicted model, not a curated record